RNAcentral lists this small RNA (465 nucleotides) under Pongo abelii (Sumatran orangutan). RNAcentral's name for it is "processed transcript". The record is from RNAcentral. Lineage: Eukaryota; Metazoa; Chordata; Mammalia; Primates; Hominidae.
GGACUCGAGUCCCGUUGCCGACUCGCGCUCUUGGCUCCUGCUCCGGGGCUUCUUCCCUGCCCGCCCGGGGCCCUGACCGUGGCCUCUUCGCCGGCCUGAUCCGCGCAGCCCGGCGGGCGCCCAGAAGGAGCAGGCGGCGCGGGGGCGCGCUGGGCGGGGGAGGCGUGGCCGGAGCCGCGGCGGCCAGCGGGCUGGGACUGCUCGGCCGCCUCCUGCCCGGCGAGCAGCUCAGACCAUGUCGCCUGAAGAAUGGACAUAUCUAGUGGUUCUUCUUAUCUCCAUCCCCAUUGGCUUCCUCUUUAAGAAAGCCGGUCCUGGGCUGAAGAGAUGGGGGGCAGCCGCUGUGGGCCUGGGGCUCACCCUGUUCACCUGUGGCCCCCACACUUUGCAUUCUCUGGUCACCAUCCUCGGGACCUGGGCCCUCAUUCAGGCCCAGCCCUGCGUGCCUCCUGCUUUUGCCCAGCU